CGGUAGGUAGGAUCGGGGGGCUAGCCCUACCCCACACCUCAAACGGGACAUAUGGAGGGAUCAGUAACCUGCAAAGGAAUCGGAAGCGCUCGGCGAAAGACACACCGCUCUUCGUCGAUGUCCUGCCCGGCGGGGUCGGCGGUUCACCUGUGUACGGUCGUAGGGCCGCAACUAGGUAUUAAAGGGGCGAACAUGGCCAGGCCCGGGAGGGAGCAACCUAAGUCCUAACGUUGGACGCUCGACGGAUCUCGGGACGGAGAAGGGUAAUGUGACCCUGCGCCGUGUUAAUCCGUGAACCGAGCGGGGGCUAUCG
This 313-nucleotide signal recognition particle RNA is filed under the name Candidatus Bathyarchaeota archaeon. RNAcentral describes it as "signal recognition particle sRNA". It matches the Rfam family "Archaeal signal recognition particle RNA". Lineage: Archaea; Thermoproteati; Candidatus Bathyarchaeota. The record is from RNAcentral.